CUUUUACCUUCUGACUCAAUCCGAGUGGCUGUUAUCAAUCCGUUCCUGCGUGUUUGUUAGAUCACAUCAAAGCCUCUCUGAUAAGUGGUUCAUCUCCGUGCUGAGAGACACUUGGCUUAUCAUCGACCGUCAGGCUACAAGUAACAAUUUUUAUUUUAGGGUGGUUUUUGUUUCAUUUAGGGACCGAUGAGCUCUACAUAAACAUGAAAAAAAAAGAGUUUUGGUCGUUACUUGACAGAUUUCAGUUUUUCUGAGCCAUUUAAAGUGGGCAGGGCUUCUGCUCACGUUUCAUACAACAGAUUUAUAUUCUUGGAGGUUUUGUAAUAUUUGCUGUUCAAGAAAAUCCUCAUUUACCUCAUGCUGGUGCAGCUCAUCAGGCCAAACACAAGCCCUCCCCUCACUUUAAGCCACAUUCCUUCUGACUGGUUGCCUCUCACAAACAGUAAGUUUGUACAGUAAGUGGGUGGGACUUAAAUGACCAUAUUAGGGAUACCUGACAUCAUCAGCCUUAGCUAUCCUCUAUAACAAACUGCUUUGGUUUAAGAAACCCAUUUUAAUAAUGGUGGCUAUAUUUUCCCUGCUCAUGCUGUACACCAGUGUUUGUCAGUAGUUAUGUUUUUUUGUAAUAGUAAAUGAUACUUUUUCACUCUUGCAUCUACCUAAAAGGGUCAGUUUACACAUUUUCUUUUUUCUUUUUCUUUUUUUUUUAAAAAAAGCUACUUUUCAUUUCCACCUGUCAUCUGCCACUCUCACUUCAUGAGCAAUGCUCUGGGUGCUGAAAACAGCAGAAAAUCUCCACAGUGUCUUGCAGGUUGCUUGUUAAAGCUAAUGGGACAAUUAUGUUUUGUGACUUGGGUGAAAUAACUCUUUAAUGGGAGACAUCAGCUGCUUUAUUGUGGUGGUAGAUGGCAGUAAGACCAAGUCAGAGAGAGACAGACUGAGACAAAGCUUCCUUUAUCUAUUUCUCUUUAGCUCCAACAUUCCUCUCAUUCUGCCGAGCACGACCUGACCAUGACCAACGCUGGCUGUGCCUCUGUCUCGCUGUCCUCUGGGAGCUCUUUGAUAUUUUUAGUGUAUCCCUACAAGGACAGCAGGUCACUCACUGAGGCCACUCGCAGAAAAUGGGUUCUUUUCAGUGUCUGGGCAUUGGGAUCUUUGUGUUCACUUUCCAC
Molecule: long non-coding RNA, 1172 nt
Organism: Astatotilapia calliptera (eastern happy)
Lineage: Eukaryota; Metazoa; Chordata; Actinopteri; Cichliformes; Cichlidae
Source: Ensembl